Molecule: long non-coding RNA, 511 nt
Filed under: Musa acuminata (dwarf banana)
Lineage: Eukaryota; Viridiplantae; Streptophyta; Magnoliopsida; Zingiberales; Musaceae
Description: long non-coding RNA (MACU_LNC008413)
Source: RNAcentral
UGAGAGCAGACUAGAUUGAGUUCCACUUCCAUACUCUAGUUUACAUAGGGCUAAUGGCGCGUCUAGUCCUACCUCUUCUCCCUAAGCUCUUUGUUCAAGUAAUACACUUUCUUUCAUCCUCUUCUCUCUAACUAGUAAGCAAGUAAACCAACCACCUUGUAAGAGACUUUUGAUUGACUUUUCGUUCCGGAUAACAGUUAUACUUUGAGUGGUGGCAGGUAGGCGGGAGACCUCUCAAUCCUUACUUCAAGGGGAGAAUAGCGGAGAUGGUCAGAAUGCCCCUAAAUCUGUAAGUUGGUUUGAAAGAUGAUCUGUGGGAUGGUUCUCGUUAAUAAGUAUCGGAAGAAAGCUAGGCUUCGUCUCUGUCUAAGGCAAGGCAAGGGCGGGAAAGAAUUCCAUAAAUCCAGGAUAGGUCUACAAAAGGGAAUGCUGUGUUAGGUUGACUUAUAUAUCUGCUGAGCUAUCAAGUAAGAAGAAAACCGGCUUGAAUUCGAUGCUUGCUGCUGACCUU